CCUACGGGAGGCAGCAGUGAGGAAUAUUGGUCAAUGGACGAGAGUCUGAACCAGCCAAGUAGCGUGAAGGAUGACUGCCCUAUGGGUUGUAAACUUCUUUUAUAUGGGAAUAAAAUGUUCCACGUGUGGGAUUUUGUAUGUACCAUAUGAAUAAGGAUCGGCUAACUCCGUGCCAGCAGCCGCGGUAAUACGGAGGGUCCGAGCGUUAUCCGGAUUGAUUGGGUUUAAAGGGAACGUAGGUGGAUUGUUAAGUCAGUUGUGAAAGUUUGCGGCUCAACCGUAAAAUUGCAGUUGAAACUGGCAGUCUUGAGUACAGUAGAGGUGGGCGGAAUUCGUGGUGUAGCGGUGAAAUGCUUAGAGAUCACGAAGAACUCCGAUUGCGAAGGCAGCUCACUGGACUGCAACUGACACUGAGGCUCGAAAGUGUGGGUAUCAAACAGGAUUAGAUACCCGAGUAGUC
RNAcentral lists this ribosomal RNA (460 nucleotides) under uncultured bacterium. RNAcentral describes it as "partial 16S ribosomal RNA". It matches the Rfam family "Bacterial small subunit ribosomal RNA", at positions 338 to 795 of the family's 1533-position model. The record is from RNAcentral.